This 497-nucleotide ribosomal RNA is filed under the name uncultured bacterium. RNAcentral describes it as "partial 16S ribosomal RNA". It matches the Rfam family "Bacterial small subunit ribosomal RNA", at positions 28 to 507 of the family's 1533-position model. The record is from RNAcentral.
GAUGAACGCUGGCGGCGUGCCUAAUACAUGCAAGUCGAGCGAACGGACGAGAAGCUUGCUUCUCUGAUGUUAGCGGCGGACGGGUGAGUAACACGUGGAUAACCUACCUAUAAGACGGGGAUAACUUCGGGAAACCGGAGCUAAUACCGGAGAAUAUUUUGAACCGCAUGGUGCAAAAGUGAAAGACGGUCUUGCUGUCACUUAUAGAUGGAUCCGCGCUGCAUUAGCUAGUUGGUAAGGUAAUGGCUUACCAAGGCAACUAUGCAUAGCCGACCUGAGAGGGUGAUCGGCCACACUGGAACUGAGACACGGUCCAGACUCCUACGGGAGGCAGCAGUAGGGAAUCUUCCGCAAUGGGCGAAAGCCUGACGGAGCAACGCCGCGUGAGUGAUGAAGGUCUUCGGAUCGUAAAACUCUGUUAUUAGGGAAGAACAUAUGUGUAAGUAGCUGUGCACAUCUUGACGGUACCUAAUCAGAAAGCCACGGCUAACUACGUG